CUACGGGCCGCUGCAGCGAGGAGUUUUGCGCAAUGGGGGAAACCCUGACGCAGCAACGCCGCGUGAGCGAAGAAGGCCUUCGGGUCGUAAAGCUCUGUCAAGUGGGAAAAACGUUUUCCGGUGAAUAGCCGGGAGAUCUGAUGGUACCAUUGAAGGAAGCACCGGCUAACUCCGUGCCAGCGAGCCGCGGUAAUACGGAGGGUGCAAGCGUUGUUCGGAAUUAUUGGGCGUAAAGAGCGUGUAGGCGGUUUAGUAAGUCAGAUGUGAAAGCCCCGGGCUCAACCUGGGAAGUGCAUUUGAAACUGCUUUACUGGAGUAUGGGAGAGGAGAGUGGAAUUCCUGGUGUAGAGGUGAAAUUCGUAGAUAUCAGGAGGAACAUCUGUGGCGAAGGCGACUCUCUGGACCAAUACUGACGCUGAGACGCGAAAGCGUGGGUAGCAAACAGGAUUAGAUACCCUUGUAGUC
RNAcentral lists this ribosomal RNA (465 nucleotides) under uncultured bacterium. Its description in RNAcentral is "partial 16S ribosomal RNA". It matches the Rfam family "Bacterial small subunit ribosomal RNA", at positions 339 to 795 of the family's 1533-position model. The record is from RNAcentral.